GCACGAUAUCGGAAAGCCUUUGCUCGCUGAAUCUUCCAUCAUCUUGAUGCAUUCCUUUGAAUAAAUCUCCGGGAUGCACAUUGUGACUAAACAAAACGUGUUUCAUAAAAAAUCGGAUUAAUUGACGACUCACAUCACCAAUUCCCAUGAAGUACUUACACACUCGCGGCGGACUCGUAGCGGACACAGCCGCCACCGCGAAAAUCGCGAGCACCGCGAAUCUGUGCAGCAUCUUGAUUACGGCAGAGGGCGAUUUUCUCCCAAAGGAUCAACGCGAUCGGGAAGACGAGACGAAGCUCUGCGGUAAGGCCGCAGACGGAUGGUCGGCGGCGACGACGACUUGUCAAGACCGUCCGGAGCAGCGACGAUCUACGUACGUCCUUAUAUAGAUGCGUCUUUUUCUUCUAUUUCAGCACGGAAGAGAAGUAGGGGAAGGAGUUUCGCUGUUUCUCCUCCUCUCUUCCUCCCUAUCGCUUGGUAAUCCCCGCCGUCGUUCUUUCUUCGUUCGUUUCGUGUAAUGACGCCAUCGUCGUUCAUUAUCUAUUCGUUUCCUCACUUCUCCCGCGGCGAUGACACUUUCCAGCUUCGUCGCAUAUGGUUCUUUGGGGAAAGACAGGUUUCUCGUGUUCCAGAUUUUUGUGUUGUGAAAAUUAUUAUCGAAUUCGAAUAUACACCUAAAUAGACAAUAAAGAGUGAUUCUGUUUAAGAUCACGAAAGUGAUAUAACUUUGAGUUUGAAUUAUGUUGUUGACAUACUAAAAUAAUUGUCUUUUGUGUCAAUUUUACCAACGUUACAAUAAAAAUGCAUCGUUCGAUGCAGAGAUUUUUUUAUCUUGAA
Molecule: long non-coding RNA, 837 nt
Organism: Solenopsis invicta (red fire ant)
Lineage: Eukaryota; Metazoa; Arthropoda; Insecta; Hymenoptera; Formicidae
Exons: 2
Source: RefSeq, a predicted model, not a curated record